This 1133-nucleotide ribosomal RNA is filed under the name halophilic bacterium 7spe1131-1134. RNAcentral describes it as "bacterial SSU rRNA". It matches the Rfam family "Bacterial small subunit ribosomal RNA", at positions 392 to 1520 of the family's 1533-position model. The record is from RNAcentral.
CCAUGCCGCGUGUGUGAAGAAGGCCCUCGGGUUGUAAAGCACUUUCAGUGAGGAAGAAGGCUUGUCGGUUAAUACCCGGCAGGAAGGACAUCACUCACAGAAGAAGCCCCGGCUAACUCCGUGCCAGCAGCCGCGGUAAUACGGAGGGGGCAAGCGUUAAUCGGAAUUACUGGGCGUAAAGCGUGCGUAGGCGGCUUGGUAAGCCGGUUGUGAAAGCCCCGGGCUCAACCUGGGAAUGGCAUCCGGAACUGUCAGGCUAGAGUGCAGGAGAGGAAGGUAGAAUUCCCGGUGUAGCGGUGAAAUGCGUAGAGAUCGGGAGGAAUACCAGUGGCGAAGGCGGCCUUCUGGACUGACACUGACGCUGAGGUACGAAAGCGUGGGUAGCAAACAGGAUUAGAUACCCUGGUAGUCCACGCCGUAAACGAUGUCGACUAGCCGUUGGGGUCCUUGAGACCUUUGUGGCGCAGUUAACGCACUAAGUCGACCGCCUGGGGAGUACGGCCGCAAGGUUAAAACUCAAAUGAAUUGACGGGGGCCCGCACAAGCGGUGGAGCAUGUGGUUUAAUUCGAUGCAACGCGAAGAACCUUACCUACCCUUGACAUCGUGCGAACUUGGUAGAGAUACCUUGGUGCCUUCGGGAGCGCACAGACAGGUGCUGCAUGGCUGUCGUCAGCUCGUGUUGUGAAAUGUUGGGUUAAGUCCCGUAACGAGCGCAACCCUUAUCCUUAUUUGCCAGCGAUACGGUCGGGAACUCUAAGGAGACUGCCGGUGACAAACCGGAGGAAGGUGGGGACGACGUCAAGUCAUCAUGGCCCUUACGGGUAGGGCUACACACGUGCUACAAUGGCCGAUACAAUGGGUCGCAAAGCGGCGACGUGGCGCUAAUCCCAUAAAGUCGGUCUCAGUCCGGAUCGGAGUCUGCAACUCGACUCCGUGAAGUCGGAAUCGCUAGUAAUCGUGAAUCAGAAUGUCACGGUGAAUACGUUCCCGGGCCUUGUACACACCGCCCGUCACACCAUGGGAGUGGACUGCACCAGAAGUGGUUAGCCUAACUUCGGAGGGCGAUCACCACGGUGUGGUUCAUGACUGGGGUGAAGUCGUAACAAGGUAGCCGUAGGGGAACCUGCGGCUG